UCGAGGAUCUUCCGCAAUGGGGGCAACCCUGACGGAGCGACGCCGCGUGCAGGAUGAAGGCCUUCGGGUCGUAAACUGCUGUCACACGUUAUGAAAAAGUAUGAACUAACACUUCAUACCUUGACAAAGGCGUGAAAGGAAGCCACGGCUAACUUCGUGCCAGCAGCCGCGGUAAGACGAAGGUGGCUAGCGUUGCUCGGAUUUACUGGGCAUAAAGCGCGCGUAGGUGGUCGUGUAAGCGGGAGAUGAAAGCCCAUGGCUCACCCAUGGAACUGUCUCCCGGACUGCAUGGCUUGAGGAAGGAAGGGGAGAAUGGAAUUCCCGGUGUAGCGGUGAAAUGCGUAGAUAUCGGGAGGAACGCCGGUGGCGAAAGCGAUUCUCUGGUCCUUUCCUGACACUGAUGCGCGAAAGCUAGGGGAGCAAACAGGAUUAGAUACCCGGGUAGUCC
RNAcentral lists this ribosomal RNA (448 nucleotides) under uncultured bacterium. RNAcentral describes it as "bacterial SSU rRNA". It matches the Rfam family "Bacterial small subunit ribosomal RNA", at positions 355 to 796 of the family's 1533-position model. The record is from RNAcentral.